CAAAAUGUUGUGUUUUACCUUGCCUUUUAGUGAGCUCCUGUUUGUUUUCCCUCAGUGCUCAGAGAGACUCCGUAUUUCUCACAGGCAACAUUUUGAGCAGGGAAGUUCCCUCUGGGUAUGUUUUGUAGUUUGCAUACAAUGGCCUUCUUGUCCAAUUUCAGUUAUUACAACCAUAUUUUGUCCGUCUUGAAAACUCACCUUGACCCCAGCCAGCAACCCAGAAAACAGUUUCUGCGGUUCCCCUGCCUUCUCAGAAAGAGCAAAGUACUUUGCUCUUUCUCCUUGAAAGGCUUUUCACACAAAGGCCAUUCAUUUGCCCUGUGACAUGAGGUAUAACAGCUGGGUGCUACAACCAUAAUAAGGAACAUUAACACAUAUGCCAGAACGAAGACUCUUGCUCAGGGCUUUCUGGAUAUGGCAUUCUUCACUGCUAAUGCCUCACAAAUGAAACACCUUCUGCAACAAGGAACUGAUGCACGGUUUUAUUACUUUCUUUUUGUC
Long non-coding RNA from Gavialis gangeticus (Gharial), 501 nucleotides. RefSeq lists it as uncharacterized. The transcript has 3 exons. The record is from RefSeq and is a predicted model, not a curated record. Lineage: Eukaryota; Metazoa; Chordata; Crocodylia; Gavialidae.